This 465-nucleotide ribosomal RNA is filed under the name uncultured bacterium. RNAcentral describes it as "partial 16S ribosomal RNA". It matches the Rfam family "Bacterial small subunit ribosomal RNA", at positions 28 to 507 of the family's 1533-position model. The record is from RNAcentral.
GACGAACGCUGGCGGCGUGCUUAACACAUGCAAGUCGAACGGAAAGGCCCCUUUGGGGGUACUCGAGUGGCGAACGGGUGAGUAACACGUGAGUAACCUGCCCUUGACUUCGGGAUAACUUCAGGAAACUGGGGCUAAUACCGGAUAGGAAUCCUUGCUGCAUGGUGGGGGUUGGAAAGCUUCGGCGGUUUUGGAUGGACUCGCGGCUUAUCAGCUUGUUGGUGGGGUAGUGGCUUACCAAGGCUUUGACGGGUAGCCGGCCUGAGAGGGCGACCGGCCACAUUGGGACUGAGAUACGGCCCAGACUCCGACGGGAGGCAGCAGUGGGGAAUAUUGCACAAUGGGCGGAAGCCUGAUGCAGCAACGCCGCGGGCGGGAGGACGGCCUUCGGGUUGUAAACCGCUUUCAGCAGGGGCGAAGCUUGUGGUGACGGUACCUGCAGAAGAAGCACCGGCUAACUACGUG